Long non-coding RNA from Grus americana (Whooping crane), 1395 nucleotides. RefSeq lists it as uncharacterized. The transcript has 4 exons. The record is from RefSeq and is a predicted model, not a curated record. NCBI's taxonomy places the organism in Eukaryota, Metazoa, Chordata, Aves, Gruiformes, Gruidae.
CGCUCCCCUGACUCACCUGACAGAUGGGGUUGGCCCUGAUUCUUGUGUCGCUGGGCCCAGCUGUGAAGAACUCCCAAGCCAGACCUUUGGGCACCUUCAGCUUUCAGAGCUCAUGGGUUUUAUGCCUUGGGCUUGCUUGCUGGUGUUUUUGGAGACCUGAGGUGUUGAAGUGCUUCCCACUACCAGAGAGGGCUGUCAGCUGUACAGCGACAGUGAGGGUUAUAGGAGCUAUUUCUGCACUCCUGACUCACCUAAAUUCCUGUGAAACUCAAUGGAUGUUUUGAGUGUGCAAGGACGGGACUAAAAAUUGUGUUCUACAUUCUGCUCUUCUAAAGUCUCCCCGAGUGGCAUCACUUAAAAUUAGAACUUCAAAGCAGACAAGCAGCAAAUAUGGCACAGUGAGAGCAUCAGCAGUGGACAGAAAGUCAAACAAGGCGAACAUCAGGGACUGUUACAGAAACAUACUUGCUCUACCAUGUUCAAAAAAAGAGAUUAAUAUAUAGCCCGAGAGGUGGUAUGACUGGAGCAGCAGGAAAGAAAUGAGUACUUAGCAGGAGCAACAGAAAUGAGAAAAAUGCAGUGAUUUUAAAAGAAUGUCAAAAACCAGAUUGGAUCCCCAGAAAAGAUGGCACAUCUCAUGAUCUUCUCUGAUGGAAGGACAGCACUGACCUCCCAAACACAUAGCUUUUAUCAGCUCUGCCUAAGAAAGUGGUUAAGCAACGUACUUGGAAAAUUUUCAUUCUGAUCCUACAUUUCUUCAGCACUAAGGGCUACUCAGCUCUAGAUUUUUAAUUUAAUCUGUUUUAUAAAAGCCUAAUUGCAAAAUUGUGUGGAGUUAGGCUAAGUUCUGAAUUUUCCUGUGACAUGGGAAAACUCAGCCUGGAUAUUAAAUUCUCGCUUCAUCUUCUGUCAGUACUAACGUAUAUACUUGACUGAAAAACAACCAGCUUGGACGUGUUGCCAGAAGGCACACUAUAAAUUAUAGACCCUGCUCCAAAAGUUUUUGAGUAUUAAUACUGCUGAUGCAAUUGCAUAAAAGUAUAAUUUUGGGGAAAUGUGAUCCAUCCACCCCAUCCUGUAUAUCCAAAGCCCAAAUUUUUCCAGCAGGUAAGUGAACAAGAGUGAGGUUAAAUAGAGAUGGUGUACGUUCAGCUAAAAAUAUUAAACAAACCCCCCCACCCCCAAACAGCAAGUCUCUUCCUCUUCUCUAUAAACAAAGGCAGAAACAGAAUCAAAGCUUCUUCACUUUUUUCCUAGUACCCUAUUCGUUCAGUAGAAUCAGAGAUGCAUAUUUAAUAGUUUGCCAUAGAAGUAGUGCAUUACUGACUGUUAUUAGAAUUACAAACUAGUAAUGUUGAAACUAAUUAACGGAAUAAAAGAGCUGACCCUGCUGCA